GCGCCACUAGCUCAGUUGGUAGAGCACUCGACUUUUAAUCGAGUUGUCACAGGUUCAACCCCUGUGUGGCGCACCA
This 76-nucleotide transfer RNA is filed under the name Fusobacteriaceae bacterium. RNAcentral describes it as "tRNA-Lys". It matches the Rfam family "tRNA". Rfam says of the family: Transfer RNA (tRNA) molecules are approximately 80 nucleotides in length. Lineage: Bacteria; Fusobacteriati; Fusobacteriota; Fusobacteriia; Fusobacteriales; Fusobacteriaceae. The record is from RNAcentral.